Molecule: ribosomal RNA, 465 nt
Filed under: Vreelandella stevensii
Lineage: Bacteria; Pseudomonadati; Pseudomonadota; Gammaproteobacteria; Oceanospirillales; Halomonadaceae
Description: partial 16S ribosomal RNA
Rfam family: Bacterial small subunit ribosomal RNA
Source: RNAcentral
CCUACGGGAGGCUGCAGUGGGGAAUAUUGGACAAUGGGGGGAACCCUGAUCCAGCCAUGCCGCGUGUGUGAAGAAGGCCCUCGGGUUGUAAAGCACUUUCAGUGAGGAAGAACGCCUGGUGGUUAAUACCCAUCAGGAAAGACAUCACUCACAGAAGAAGCACCUGCUAACUCCGUGCCAGCAGCCGCGGUAAUACGGAGGGUGCGAGCGUUAAUCGGAAUUACUGGGCGUAAAGCGCGCGUAGGUGGCUUGAUAAGCCGGUUGUGAAAGCCCCGGGCUCAACCUGGGAACGGCAUCCGGAACUGUCAAGCUAGAGUGCAGGAGAGGAAGGUAGAAUUCCCGGUGUAGCGGUGAAAUGCGUAGAGAUCGGGAGGAAUACCAGUGGCGAAGGCGGCCUUCUGGACUGACACUGACACUGAGGUGCGAAAGCGUGGGUAGCAAACAGGAUUAGAUACCCCGGUAGUA